RNAcentral lists this ribosomal RNA (490 nucleotides) under uncultured bacterium. RNAcentral's name for it is "bacterial SSU rRNA". It matches the Rfam family "Bacterial small subunit ribosomal RNA", at positions 27 to 518 of the family's 1533-position model. The record is from RNAcentral.
GGACGAACGCUGGCGGCGUGCUUAACACAUGCAAGUCGAACGAGGCUUAGGGAAGAGCUUGCUCGGAACUAAGCCGAGUGGCGGACGGGUGAGUAACGCGUGAAUAAUCUGUCUCAUACAGGGGGGAUAACGCAUCGAAAGAUGUGCUAAUACCGCGUAGGACCACGACGGGGCAUCCCGUUGAGGUGAAAGGAGCAAUCCAGUAUGAGGAUGAGUUCGCGUCUGAUUAGAUAGUUGGUGAGGUAACGGCCCACCAAGUCAACGAUCAGUAGCCGACCUGAGAGGGUGAUCGGCCACAUUGGGACUGAGACACGGCCCAGACUCCUACGGGAGGCAGCAGGUGGGGAAUAUUGGGCAAUGGGCGAAAGCCUGACCCAGCAACGCCGCGUGAAGGAAGAAGGUUUUCGGAUCGUAAACUUCUGUCCUAUAUGAAGAGCAGUAGACGGUUAGUAUAGGAGGAAGCCCCGGCUAACUACGUGCCAGCCGCUGC